AGCGUACACGGUGGAUGCCCUGGCAGUCAGAGGCGAUGAAGGACGUGCUAAUCUGCGAAAAGCGUCGGUAAGGUGAUAUGAACCGUUAUAACCGGCGAUGUCCGAAUGGGGAAACCCAGUGUGAUUCGUCACACUAUCGUUAACUGAAUACAUAGGUUAACGAGGCGAACCGGGGGAACUGAAACAUCUAAGUACCCCGAGGAAAAGAAAUCAACCGAGAUUCCCCCAGUAGCGGCGAGCGAACGGGGAGCAGCCCAGAGUCUGAAUCAGCUUGUGUGUUAGUGGAACGGUCUGGAAAGUCCGACGGUACAGGGUGAUAGUCCCGUACACCAAAAUGCACAGGUUGUGAACUCGAAGAGUAGGGCGGGACACGUGGUAUCCUGUCUGAAUAUGGGGGGACCAUCCUCCAAGGCUAAAUACUCCUGACUGACCGAUAGUGAACCAGUACCGUGAGGGAAAGGCGAAAAGAACCCCGGCGAGGGGAGUGAAAAAGAACCUGAAACCGUGUACGUACAAGCAGUGGGAGCACCUUUAUGGUGUGACUGCGUACCUUUUGUAUAAUGGGUCAGCGACUUAUAUUCUGUAGCAAGGUUAACCGUAUAGGGGAGCCGCAGGGAAACCGAGUCUUAACUGGGCGUUAAGUUGCAGGGUAUAGACCCGAAACCCGGUGAUCUAGCCAUGGGCAGGUUGAAGGUUGGGUAACACUAACUGGAGGACCGAACCGACUAAUGUUGAAAAAUUAGCGGAUGACUUGUGGCUGGGGGUGAAAGGCCAAUCAAACCGGGAGAUAGCUGGUUCUCCCCGAAAGCUAUUUAGGUAGCGCCUCGUGAACUCAUCUUCGGGGGUAGAGCACUGUUUCGGCUAGGGGGUCAUCCCGACUUACCAACCCGAUGCAAACUACGAAUACCGAAGAAUGUUAUCACGGGAGACACACGGCGGGUGCUAACGUCCGUCGUGAAGAGGGAAACAACCCAGACCGCCAGCUAAGGUCCCAAAGUCAUGGUUAAGUGGGAAACGAUGUGGGAAGGCACAGACAGCCAGGAUGUUGGCUUAGAAGCAGCCAUCAUUUAAAGAAAGCGUAAUAGCUCACUGGUCGAGUCGGCCUGCGCGGAAGAUGUAACGGGGCUAAACCAUGCACCGAAGCUGCGGCAGCGACACUAUGUGUUGUUGGGUAGGGGAGCGUUCUGUAAGCCUGCGAAGGUGGCCUGUGAGGGUUGCUGGAGGUAUCAGAAGUGCGAAUGCUGACAUAAGUAACGAUAAAGCGGGUGAAAAGCCCGCUCGCCGGAAGACCAAGGGUUCCUGUCCAACGUUAAUCGGGGCAGGGUGAGUCGACCCCUAAGGCGAGGCCGAAAGGCGUAGUCGAUGGGAAACAGGUUAAUAUUCCUGUACUUGGUGUUACUGCGAAGGGGGGACGGAGAAGGCUAUGUUAGCCGGGCGACGGUUGUCCCGGUUUAAGCAUGUAGGCGGAGGUUCCAGGUAAAUCCGGUACCUUUUAACGCUGAGGUGUGAUGACGAGGCACUACGGUGCUGAAGUAACAAAUGCCCUGCUUCCAGGAAAAGCCUCUAAGCAUCAGGUAACAUUAAAUCGUACCCCAAACCGACACAGGUGGUCAGGUAGAGAAUACCAAGGCGCUUGAGAGAACUCGGGUGAAGGAACUAGGCAAAAUGGUGCCGUAACUUCGGGAGAAGGCACGCUGGUGUGUAGGUGAAGUCCCUGCGGAUGGAGCUGAGACCAGUCGAAGAUACCAGCUGGCUGCAACUGUUUAUUAAAAACACAGCACUGUGCAAACACGAAAGUGGACGUAUACGGUGUGACGCCUGCCCGGUGCCGGAAGGUUAAUUGAUGGGGUUAUCCGUAAGGAGAAGCUCUUGAUCGAAGCCCCGGUAAACGGCGGCCGUAACUAUAACGGUCCUAAGGUAGCGAAAUUCCUUGUCGGGUAAGUUCCGACCUGCACGAAUGGCGUAAUGAUGGCCAGGCUGUCUCCACCCGAGACUCAGUGAAAUUGAACUCGCUGUGAAGAUGCAGUGUACCCGCGGCAAGACGGAAAGACCCCGUGAACCUUUACUAUAGCUUGACACUGAACAUUGAGCCUUGAUGUGUAGGAUAGGUGGGAGGCUUUGAAGCGUGGACGCCAGUCUGCGUGGAGCCAACCUUGAAAUACCACCCUUUAAUGUUUGAUGUUCUAACGUAGGCCCCUGACCGGGGUUGCGGACAGUGUCUGGUGGGUAGUUUGACUGGGGCGGUCUCCUCCCAAAGAGUAACGGAGGAGCACGAAGGUUAGCUAAUCCUGGUCGGACAUCAGGAGGUUAGUGCAAUGGCAUAAGCUAGCUUGACUGCGAGCGUGACGGCGCGAGCAGGUGCGAAAGCAGGUCAUAGUGAUCCGGUGGUUCUGAAUGGAAGGGCCAUCGCUCAACGGAUAAAAGGUACUCUGGGGAUAACAGGCUGAUA
RNAcentral lists this ribosomal RNA (2449 nucleotides) under human gut metagenome. Its description in RNAcentral is "bacterial LSU rRNA". It matches the Rfam family "Bacterial large subunit ribosomal RNA", at positions 14 to 2487 of the family's 2925-position model. The record is from RNAcentral.